UCCUGCAGGUAUAACUAGGUAGAAG
This 25-nucleotide non-coding RNA is filed under the name Rattus norvegicus (Norway rat). Lineage: Eukaryota; Metazoa; Chordata; Mammalia; Rodentia; Muridae. The record is from RNAcentral.